GGCGGCAUGCUUAACACAUGCAAGUCGCACGGGCAGGGGUAACUCUGUCAGUGGCGGACGGGUGAGUAACGCGUAGGUAUCUAUCUCUGGGUGGGGGAUAACCGUGGGAAACUACGGCUAAUACCGCAUGACACCUGAGGGUUAAAGGCGCGAGUCGCCUGGAGAGGAGCCUGCGUUCGAUUAGCUUGUUGGUGGGGUAAAGGCCUACCAAGGCGACGAUCGAUAGCUGGUCUGAGAGGAUGAUCAGCCACACUGGGACUGAGACACGGCCCAGACUCCUACGGGAGGCAGCAGUGGGGAAUAUUGGACAAUGGGGGCAACCCUGAUCCAGCAAUGCCGCGUGGGUGAAGAAGGUUUUCGGAUUGUAAAGCCCUUUUGGCGGGGACGAUGAUGACGGUACCCGCAGAAUAAGCCCCGGCUAACUUCGUGCCAGCAGCCGCGGUAAUACGAAGGGGGCUAGCGUUGCUCGGAAUGACUGGGCGUAAAGGGCGCGUA
This 495-nucleotide ribosomal RNA is filed under the name uncultured Alphaproteobacteria bacterium. Its description in RNAcentral is "bacterial SSU rRNA". It matches the Rfam family "Bacterial small subunit ribosomal RNA", at positions 38 to 573 of the family's 1533-position model. The record is from RNAcentral. Lineage: Bacteria; Pseudomonadati; Pseudomonadota; Alphaproteobacteria.